GAUGAAGAACGCAGCGAAAUGCGAUAAGUAAUGUGAAUUGCAGAAUUCAGUGAAUCAUCGAAUCUUUGAACGCACCUUGCGCCCUUUGGCUAUUCCGAAGGGCAUGCCUGUUUGAGUAUCAUGAACACCUCAACUCUCAUGGUUUGCCAUGAUGAGCUUGGACUCUGGGGGUCUUGCUGGCCUAUGGUCAGCUCCUCUCAAAUAAAUCAGCUUGCCAGUGUUUGGUGGCAUCACAGGUGUGAUAACUAUCUACGCUUGUGGUUUUCCAUCAGGUAACCUUCAGUGAUGGAGGUUCGCUGGAGCUCAUAAAUGUCCCUCCUCAGCGAGGACAGCUUUUUGAACGUUUGAUCUCAAAUCAGGUAGGACUACCCGCUGAACUUAAGCAUAUAAUAAGCGGAGGA
Molecule: unclassified non-coding RNA, 401 nt
Filed under: soil metagenome
Description: partial contains 5.8S ribosomal RNA, internal transcribed spacer 2, and large subunit ribosomal RNA
Rfam family: 5.8S ribosomal RNA (bases 1-121)
Source: RNAcentral